AGCUCCAAUAGGAUAUAUCAAAGUUGUUGCAGUUAAAAAGCUCGUAGUUGAAUUUCUGGGGAGGUUUUGAUGUUUGUUUUUGAAAGAGGGCAACUUUUUUCUUAAAUAAGCCACUCUCCAUAUUGUGGAAAACCUAUUUGUUUUUAUUGUUUACUCAAUGAAAAUAAAUACCACUCCGUCACUGAGAGCAAAUUGGAGUGCUCAAAGCAGGCUUUAUUAGCUUUGAACAUUUUAGCUUGGAAUGACAAGAUAUGACUUUUGUUUUAUUUUGUUGGUUAUGAAGUAAAAGUAAUGAUUAACAGGAACAGUUGCGGGGGUACUCGUAUUGAAAGGUCAGAGGUGAAAUUCUUGGAUUCUUUCAAGACGAACGACUGCGAAAGCAUUUACCAAGGAUGUUUUCA
Molecule: ribosomal RNA, 401 nt
Filed under: uncultured eukaryote
Lineage: Eukaryota
Description: SSU rRNA
Rfam family: Eukaryotic small subunit ribosomal RNA
Source: RNAcentral